GAACUUCUCAGGAUCUCGGAUCAUCCCUCCCUCUGGCUACUGUGGGAACUCAGUGUGAGAAAGGAGAGGAAGAUGACAUGAUGACAGAGGGAGCUUUGGAUGGAAGAAGCUUGCUGAUCCUUCGAUGCCCCCCUAUGCCAAAGGCUGAUGGCCUUUUAUAGCCAACAUCUUCCUCACGGCUCUAUCCAAGUCUUCUACCAGCGGAUAAUUUCAAAUCAAGGCUGUUGGGAAGUAGGG
RNAcentral lists this long non-coding RNA (237 nucleotides) under Phoenix dactylifera (date palm). RNAcentral describes it as "long non-coding RNA (PDAC_LNC012330)". Lineage: Eukaryota; Viridiplantae; Streptophyta; Magnoliopsida; Arecales; Arecaceae. The record is from RNAcentral.